RNAcentral lists this ribosomal RNA (441 nucleotides) under Escherichia coli. Its description in RNAcentral is "partial 23S ribosomal RNA". It matches the Rfam family "Bacterial large subunit ribosomal RNA", at positions 2190 to 2630 of the family's 2925-position model. Lineage: Bacteria; Pseudomonadati; Pseudomonadota; Gammaproteobacteria; Enterobacterales; Enterobacteriaceae. The record is from RNAcentral.
CCUUGAAAUACCACCCUUUAAUGUUUGAUGUUCUAACGUUGACCCGUGAUCCGGGUUGCGGACAGUGUCUGGUGGGUAGUUUGACUGGGGCGGUCUCCUCCUAAAGAGUAACGGAGGAGCACGAAGGUUGGCUAAUCCUGGUCGGACAUCAGGAGGUUAGUGCAAUGGCAUAAGCCAGCUUGACUGCGAGCGUGACGGCGCGAGCAGGUGCGAAAGCAGGUCAUAGUGAUCCGGUGGUUCUGAAUGGAAGGGCCAUCGCUCAACGGAUAAAAGGUACUCCGGGGAUAACAGGCUGAUACCGCCCAAGAGUUCAUAUCGACGGCGGUGUUUGGCACCUCGAUGUCGGCUCAUCACAUCCUGGGGCUGAAGUAGGUCCCAAGGGUAUGGCUGUUCGCCAUUUAAAGUGGUACGCGAGCUGGGUUUAGAACGUCGUGAGACAGU